CACUUCCAGCAUUAUAAUUAUUGGANGCACUGCCUGCCCAGUGACACCCGUUAAACGGCCGCGGUAUCCUGACCGUGCAAAGGUAGCAUAAUCAUUUGUUCUUUAAAUAGGGACUUGUAUGAAUGGCCACACGAGGGUUUUACUGUCUCUUACUUCCAAUCAGUGAAAUUGACCUUCCCGUGAAGAGGCGGGAAUUCACAAAUAAGACGAGAAGACCCUAUGGAGCUUUAAUUAACUAGCCCACAAAAUAAGCACCACACUUCUAAGGAAGAUAAACUAACUUUUUACUGGGCUAGCAAUUUGGGUUGGGGUGACCUCGGAAUAUAAAACAACUCCCGAGUGACAUAAUCUAGACUAACAAGUCGAAACCCUCUAUCAUUCAGUGAUCCAAAUUCUUGAUCAACGGAACAAGUUACCCUAGGGAUAACAGCGCAAUCCUAUUUGAGAGUUCAUAUCGACAAUAGGGUUUACGACCUCGAUGUUGGAUCAGGACACCCCAAUGGUGCAGCCGCUAUUAACGGUUCGUUUGUUCAACGAUUAAAGUCCU
RNAcentral lists this ribosomal RNA (547 nucleotides) under Epomophorus wahlbergi (Wahlberg's epauletted fruit bat). RNAcentral describes it as "partial 16S ribosomal RNA". It matches the Rfam family "Bacterial large subunit ribosomal RNA", at positions 1827 to 2597 of the family's 2925-position model. Lineage: Eukaryota; Metazoa; Chordata; Mammalia; Chiroptera; Pteropodidae. The record is from RNAcentral.